GUAUUGAUUGCGUGUUAUCGCAAAAAUGGGGGUCAUUCUACACUUUUAAAAUAGGGGUUUGUGUGAAAACGCAAGCCCCCCUCGAGACAGGCCAGAAGGGGACCCACGCGGUGGUGCACAGGGUGAGAUGGAUUGUUUGAGAGCGCUCGGGCGUGCACGACAAAAAAGUCAGCGACAGCCCUUGCACCUCAGUUUUACGAUAAUGAUCCUUCCGCAGGUUCACCUACGGAAA
This 232-nucleotide unclassified non-coding RNA is filed under the name uncultured fungus. Its description in RNAcentral is "sequence contains ITS1". The record is from RNAcentral. Lineage: Eukaryota; Fungi.